UAAGAAAUAAAUCAUUAAGUGGUUGUCUGGAUUGUCUGGAUAUUUUCAAAUGUUUUGCUUUACUGCAUUGGUUGAAUAUGUUCAUAAUUUGCAAUAGAUGGCUCCAAUACUGUACUGAAAAAGGAAUGUUUUGUCUUUCAUAAUUCAGGAAGAACAGUCCACACACUGGUGUGUUUGGAUUACUGGUAAAUCAGAUUAGUCUCAAAUGUAUUGAUGAAGAAUGGAGCAGGACUGACUUUGAAGCCGAUACUGGACACAAAGGGACACAACCUGGACAAAACAGCAAAGAGGGACAUCAAAAAGAGACAGGCUUUGGCUAGUUGUCUGAAAGAACUCUUGGCUGAAGAGAUGCUGCAGUUUGCUGGGGUGACUGAGGACAUGAUGACUGAUACGGAGACUGAUCCCGGUGAAUUUUUGGUUUCCUCUCCGAGCUGGUGCUCUGCUGAGUUUGAGUACCUGAUCAAAUCAGCUGACGAAUGAAGGAGAGCCAACCGCUCUUAUGGCGAGAAGAGGCAUUGCCAAAACGAAAACCAUUCAACUCGUCCACAGCCACCACAGCCCUACCCUGGACACCUGAUUGCUCAGAACAUUUAAAUAGAAGAGAAGAUGUGGUU
This is a long non-coding RNA of Esox lucius (northern pike), 614 nucleotides long. The record is from Ensembl. NCBI's taxonomy places the organism in Eukaryota, Metazoa, Chordata, Actinopteri, Esociformes, Esocidae.